ACGGGAGGCAGCAGUGAGGAAUAUUGGUCAAUGGACGGAAGUCUGAACCAGCCAUGCCGCGUGAGGGACGACGGCCCUAUGGGUUGUAAACCUCUUUUGCCGCAGAGUAAUAAGGGUCCUGCGGGGCCCGAUGAGAGUAUGCGGCGAAUAAGCAUCGGCUAACUCCGUGCCAGCAGCCGCGGUAAUACGGAGGAUGCAAGCGUUAUCCGGAUUUAUUGGGUUUAAAGGGAGCGUAGGCCGUGCUUUAAGCGUGUUGUGAAAUGUAGGCGCCCAACGUCUGCACUGCAGCGCGAACUGGAGCACUUGAGUACGCAGGAAGUAGGCGGAAUUCGUCGUGUAGCGGUGAAAUGCUUAGAUAUGACGAAGAACUCCGAUUGGGAAGCCAGCUUACUGUAGCGCCACUGACGCUGAUGCUCGAAAGCGUGGGUAUCGAACAGGAUUAGAUACCCUGGUA
RNAcentral lists this ribosomal RNA (454 nucleotides) under uncultured Prevotella sp. RNAcentral's name for it is "partial 16S ribosomal RNA". It matches the Rfam family "Bacterial small subunit ribosomal RNA", at positions 341 to 792 of the family's 1533-position model. The record is from RNAcentral. Lineage: Bacteria; Pseudomonadati; Bacteroidota; Bacteroidia; Bacteroidales; Prevotellaceae.